UGAUUAGAUACCCCACUAUGCUUUGGAGUUAACCACAACAUGAACUCAACAGCCUGUUCGCCAGAGAAUUACGGGCGAAAGCCUAAAACUCAAAAGACUUGACGGUGUCCCAAUCCUGCCUAGAGGAGCCUGUUUCAUAAUCGACAACCCCCGCUCAACCCAACCUCUCCUUGUAAACCCCAGCCUAUAUACCGCCGUCUUUCCUGCUUACCUUCUGAAAGACAAAUAGUAAGCUCAAUAGCCCCUCAGCUAAAAAGUCAGGUCAAGGUGUAGCUUAUGGAGAGGAGAAAAUGGGCUACAUUUUCUAGUACAGAACACAACGGAAAAUAUUCUGAAAUAAAACAUACAAAGGUGGAUUUAGCAGUAAGCCAAACUAGAGUGUUUGACUAAAUUAAGCUCUGGGACACGUACACACCGCCCGUCCCCUA
Molecule: ribosomal RNA, 428 nt
Filed under: Holcosus undulatus (rainbow ameiva)
Lineage: Eukaryota; Metazoa; Chordata; Lepidosauria; Squamata; Teiidae
Description: partial 12S ribosomal RNA
Rfam family: Bacterial small subunit ribosomal RNA
Source: RNAcentral